Molecule: ribosomal RNA, 253 nt
Filed under: uncultured bacterium
Lineage: Bacteria
Description: partial 16S ribosomal RNA
Rfam family: Bacterial small subunit ribosomal RNA
Source: RNAcentral
GACGAACCGAGCGAACGUUAUUCGGAAUCACUGGGCUUAAAGGGCGCGUAGGCGGACGACCAAGUCAGGGGUGAAAUCCCGCGGCUCAACCGCGGAAGUGCCUUUGAUACUGGUUGUCUCGAGGGAGGUAGGGGCGUGCGGAACUUCCGGUGGAGCGGUGAAAUGCGUAGAUAUCGGAAGGAACACCGGUGGCGAAAGCGGCGCGCUGGACCUCUUCUGACGCUGAGGCGCGAAAGCCAGGGGAGCGAACGGG